This is a long non-coding RNA of Rhinopithecus roxellana (golden snub-nosed monkey), 5886 nucleotides long. RefSeq lists it as uncharacterized. The record is from RefSeq and is a predicted model, not a curated record. The transcript has 4 exons. NCBI's taxonomy places the organism in Eukaryota, Metazoa, Chordata, Mammalia, Primates, Cercopithecidae.
UCAAGUGACUCUACAACCUCGGCCUUCCAAAGUGCUGAUAUAGGCAUGAGCCACUGUACCUGACCAAGAUGAUUAUUUUGAGUUCUUUUACAGGUAACUCAUAGAUCUCUAUUUCCCUAGAGUUUGUGCAUUUGAUGAGCGGGUACCUUUUCCAGCCUUUAUAGACUGGCUACAGCAGGGAAAAUCCUGCACUAGUCAGUUUAUCUAGAGAUUCUGUGUGGGCCAUGUAACAGAAUCUCUAGAGAGAUGGCUUUGGUGUUUGGAUUAAUAGUUGAGCAGGUCUGACACCUGGAAAAACAGAAGCUGUCCAGGCACCAUGGUCUACUGCGGUGGACCUUUUGUCUGGGUCCGCAGAAGCAGGCCUGGAGGUGGGAUCCACAAAGACCAGCCUGAAGCCUGGAUCCAUAGCAGCCAGCUGGAAGCUGCAGUGGGUCUGGGACCUGGGUCCAUGAUAUAAUAGUAGGCUUGGGUCUUUGGUCCUGGAUCCACAAAGUCUGUCCUGGAGUCUGGAUCUAUAGCAGUGGUCCUGGAGCUUGGGUCCAUGGGGCCAGUCUGGUAUUGGAAUGUACUGUAGCAGUUCUGGACCCUGGGUUUGUUCAAGUAAAUCUGUAGUGUGGGAUUCCAGGGACUCUGGGGCCAUGGGAACCAGUCUGGAGCUAGGCAGACCUGGAGUCUGAGUCCAUGUGGGCCAGCCUGGAUCCUGGGCCAUGGAAUCUAGCCUGGUAUGAGAUUUCACUGAAAAAAUAUAGCAAAAUUCUUUAUGCCUACGGGUCCUGUCCACUGGAAGAGUUUAAUUGGCUCACUUCUUCAUUUUAAUGGAGGCAUAACCUAUGUACACUAUAGCACAUAUCUUAAUUAUAUAGCUUGGUAAAAUUUUACAUAUAAAUAAACUUGUGUAACUGCUUAUGAGAUCUAGAUAAGGAACAUCUCUGUUAGCUUAUUCUUAAAUUGAACUCUUGAUGUUUUUGGAGCAAAGUCUGUGCCCCCAGAUCCAGGUGAGGAACAAUAUAUCCCUUUCUGUAAGCUCUCUUCUUCCCCAAAAAGUGCUUUUUUAUGGCUUCUGAAUUUUGCAGGCCAUGAGUAUAUUGCCUACUUCAAGGGAAGCAGAUAUAGCGCUGUAGUCCAAAUCCUAUUCUGAAGCAGUGGACUUGGCCUCUGGUGUUCUAAGAUUUUUUGCCGAUGUGACUUUACUUUUUUUUUCUAAAGCAUAUUUAACUUAAUUGUUUUCAUUUUGUAUACAUAAUGACUAACAAAGUUGAAUAUCUUUUCUUGUGUUUAUUGGCUAUUUCAAUUUACUGCUCUGUGAAGUGUCUGCUCAAAUUAUUUGCCUAUUAUUGAAUGGUUGUCUCACAUUUCUUAUUGAUUUGUAAGGGUUCUUUCUAAUUUCUGGUACAGCCCUUCUUAAAGACUUGUGAUGCAAAUAUCUUCUUUAUGAUCUGCUCUGUUGGUGUCAAUUGCUAUUUUUAUGAUUUCCUAGGACACUUUUGGAGGCCACCUCUCAAUAAGCUUUGCAAAUAGCUCCUACUAGAGCAGUUAUUCCACUUUGUAGGAUCUUGUUUUUCAUUCUCCAUUAAACCAAUCCUGACCUAUUGAAAAUGAAGUGAGGCCAUUAAAUAUAAAUUGUGCUUGAUCCAAAAUGUAAUAUGUAAACAUUGCAUAUAACUUUUUGAAAUUAAACCUUACUAUGGCAUCAUGAAGAAUUAACAAUAGAUAAAGGAAUCUCAGCAAUGUUCCAUAAUGAAGUUUGUUUAUUCUAGAGUAAAAGAGAGUGAAUAAUCUAUGUAUUUAUAUGUUGUAAAGAUAUUGUAAAUAUGUCUGAGUUAGCAGGUAGACAUAUAACCAUUUUAAGGCAGGAGAACAGACCGCUAGAUGCUAUUGCAUUGUUCCUGCAUACCUUUGAUUCUAAGUGUUUUCGUAAAGGGAAACUAUAACUUAUGAGAAAUAAGACUUUAGAUCUAUAGAUUAUUUGUUUAAUAAAAUAGGAAGACAUAUCAGGAAGCUCAGCAUACCUCAUUUAAAUGGGCACUGGCCUCAAUAAAGAAACUAUUUUCUCUCAAAAUUCUAAUCCUUUUAAACAAUACAUUUUGUUAACCAACAAGAAUCAUCACAGUCCCUUCACUUUCUAUUUCUUAUUUGAAUGAUAUUGUAGUUGACCCUAAGAAAACUCAGAAUCUCUGUGUGGUAUAAGUAUUAAGAGGAAAAAGCAAAACAAACUUCAAUAUUUCACCCUUGUAUAUAAGGACUGAUGCCUAAUAUAGAUCAACAUCAUCUAAAGAAAGUUUGAAUAAUAUCAUAAUUUUUAGAAAAUUCCUCUCCCGAUCAGGAGUAUCAGACAGCUGUUAGUGUUUGUUAGUGUUUCUCUUGCUGUUCCACUUAGUGUUAUUGACUUUUGUGCUUCAACCUUUCCCUUUCCUGGAAUAUCUAACUCUCCUGCCAAUCUCAACAACCGGUGGAAAUCUGACUGAGGAGCUUUCUCUAAAUCUUGUGAUGGAAAUCUUCUCUAAUGAGGAGGCACAUUCUGCGUCAUUGAGAAUAAAGCUAUCAAUCAUAAAUAAUCCAUAACAAUAAAAUAAUAAAGAUAACAAUGUUUUUCCUUUAUCUCCCUGUUUUUGUGUUUUAGCAUCCCUGUAGGACUCAAUUUAAUGUUGAGGGAUAGGUAACAUUUCACUGAUUAUUUCUGUAUACCCACCAGUUCCCAAAGGGCUGUGAUGGAGGUUUACUACUUUAAAAUGCAAGGUACAAAGCAAAGGUCAUCAGCUUUUAUUCAAGGAAGUCUUUCAAAGUCAUUGAUAUAACAUCUAUUUCAGAUUGUCAUGAAUAUAUAUGGCACAUGAAAAGAAAGCAACCUCAAGAAUUAAAACCCAAGUUUUACUUUGGAUUCUUCUCCCAUAACGAGUAACAAGUACUUGAGAAAGUCAUUAAAACACUCUGGGCUUCACUUCACUCUCCUCAUUUUCAAGUUAAGGAUUUGGGAAAAAAAGAUUCCCUGAUAUUUUUUGCUUCAUUAUUUUCAGAUAAAGUUUAGUUUUAUAAAGUUAGAUUAAUAAAAAUUUAGGUUUUAAAGGAGAAAAUAAAAGAGCUAUAUCUAUUGGGAGAUAACCGGUUUUAAUGAUACUGUAGAUACAUUUUUCACCUACAUCAAUAUUGUUUUCACCUGCAAACAAUAUUGUUCUGUAAAGACGACACAAAUGGUAGAUGUCAGUUUAGAAGCCCACGUUUACCUGUGAAUAGAACAUACUGCUCUUUCUCAAAUUUGCAUCACUAGAUGGAGCCCUUGAGGGAAUACCAUCUCAGGAGAUGGAAUUUUGAGGAUUCACAUUAGAAAUGAAAGAUUCCAAGCCCCACACAAAUCCAAAGGGAAUUAAAGCUCUUCUCUUGAAGUUGAAUGCACUUUAAUUUGGCUUUGGAUAAACAGAGUGCCAAGCUGAGCUAAUGAUUUUCCCCAACUUCUACGACUGUUCUUCGUAUCCCUUUCAUACUGCUUUGAAGUAGACAGCUUUUAAAAUUUCCUAAACUGAAAUUCUAAUAGUCUUCCUGUCUAAAUUGUGUGAGUCAGGGCAAAGAAAAAAGUUGAAAAUACAAAGUAGAUAUUUGGAUAAGGCUAUAAUAUACUUGUAGAAACUCACAUAAGGGCUUAAGAGAAGACAGUAGAGGGAUAAUAAUGUGAAAUUCGUCUAUGUUUAUAAUAACUGUUGUUCUGUUCCCUGAUAAGACUACUUUUGUGUUACUUUAAAAAAUACUAGAGUCAUCAUCUGGUCACUUCUCCCUGCAGCUACUAUUAUUUCUGCAGUGUGCUCCUGUGCCCCACCACCGUCUCUCCACAUCUCAUUCUGAAUACUAUACAGCUCUCAACUUUCUCUUUGAUACUGACUAUCCUAUUUGUUUUCUAAUUUCUGGCUUUAUCUUGUAUAAAAGAUAGAAAUAAAAAGAUAAUUGGCCACAAUCUUGCCUCCUCUCUGUAAUAGCUCUGAUUCUUUUCUGCCAAUGUCUUCCUCCUGCAUGCCAAAGACGUGGCUGCCAAUGCUUUGGAUCCUGUCUCUGGUGUUAACCUUCUACUUGGCUGUCUUACCAACUCACUCUCACCCUCCGUAUACUAAUACAUGCUGUCAGUAUGUGGGAGGCAAUCUUUUCUUUCAUCCUGCUGUAAAUAUCCCAAAGAAGAAAUGCAUGCAUUCUAAGGAACACCUAUAUCAUUCAUCAUUAUCACUAAUAUUUAUUGAAUAUUUAUGAAUGUACCAAGAUAAGAACUUUAUAUGUGUAAUGUUAUUUAAUUAUCACAAAAUGAUAUGAGUUAAUUACUGUUUCUCUUUUAUAGACAAACAGAAUGAAUGCAGCUUAGAGAGGUUAAUUAGUUUGCUCUAAUUACACAGCCAGUAAGUGAUGAAGACAGAUUUUGAUACUGCAUCUGACUUCAAAACAUAAACACUUAUCCCCUGUGUUCUAUUACUUAAGGAAAGUUUUCUUCCUUGGGUGUAUUCUCUCAAUCAAGCCUUUCCCCUGCUUAUAAAAUAGUCUUUUUUAUUUUUGUAAUUUUUCAUAGACAAUUUGAUAAAGUAUCAAUUUCUACCAUUAGAAACUUUUUUUCGGAUAUGCAGCGUUUGGACAAGCAUAAGUCUUUAGAAAGUGAUUAAUUCAGUUCUCUCAGUUUUAAUAAUGCUGCAGGUCAAAAAGGUAAUAAAUGGAGGAGCCAAGUCCUGAGUUCAUGGAAAUCAUUGGAUUUGACCUUUUGUGUUUAUGUGAGAAGCAACAUUUUUUUUUUUUUUUACUUCCUAAUUUACUUCUGUGGAGGCAAGUUUGUCUUAAUUUUCCUUUCAAGGUGCUGUGAAAAAAUGCCAUUGUUCACCACAUGUUCUCUGGAUCCUCUAUACAACUUCUAACAUCUCACUUCCAACAUUUUUUGCUAAGGGCAUGCAUAAGGUGUCAUCCAUCUUUAUUUUUAAAUUUAAUAUCUAUGAACUGAAUUAAAUCUUACAUUAGAUAUUAUACAUUAAUGUGGGUCUCUCCAUUAUAGAUGCUUUCUCUGAUGCUCCUUUGUGACUCCUUUUCUACUGAGAAAUCAGAAAGUUCUCCUAGAUUCUUUCCCAAAAGAGUUUUUGGGUCAUCAGGCAAUUAUAUUUGUGUUAUCUUAACCUUUUGUUGUUUGUCAUUCUUGUCAUAGUUAAGGAAGACAGCAGAAUCCAUAUAUCAUUUGACAAUUGUUAGUAACAUAGAACACCAUGAAAUAGGUGGUAAAUCAUAUGAAGGAAAUGUUCCAGUAAAAGCCACCUCAAACUCCAGAGGUCAUUCCUGGGUAGCAGCAAUGCUGUUAUUGUUCUUUAUAAGCCAUAUAAGUGAGGAUCCCCAAAUUUCCCCAGCAGAGGGGGAAGUAUAAGUCUGAUUUAAAGAUGUUUUCUUUCUUUCUUUCAUCUACCUUGCUGGCUUUGAGCACAACCCAGGAAGAAGUUCAAAACCAAGAAAAUGGUGUUUGGCAAGACCAGGAUGCGCAAUGGCAAGAUAUUGGAUGGAGAAAUGGAAUCAGACGGAGGCAUCAUUGAGCUUAUUCUUCUUGACUCAUCUCAGUCCAAACAUUACUCUCUCAAGUGUUGUUCUUAAAAUCUGCAUAUUAAAAGGAGCCUCUCAAGAGGAAGAUGAAAAGACCCAAGCACCAUGUGAGCUGUUCUGAGUUCAAUUAAGUUAUUAAGAAUUGUUCUGAAUGAAUUCAAGGAACCUCUUGGUUACUGUUCUAAUAAAAAAUUUCUACAAGUUUUUGCUGUAAUGCAAAUAAUCAUGUUUAACCAUGAAAACUUUUUUUUUUCUCAACCAUUCUACUAUUAGAUUUUAGUUCCACAUUGUAGAAGAACAAAAGACCAAAAAAAAGUCCGGGUGCUGUAGUCCCAGCGCUUUGGG